AUUGAACGCUGGCGGCAGGCCUAACACAUGCAAGUCGAACGAGUGGCGGACGGGUGAGUAAUGUCGGGGAAACUGCCUGAUGGAGGGGGAUAAAUACUGGAAAAGGUAGCUAAUCCCGCAUACCAUCAGAUGUGCCCAGAUGGGAUUAGCUAGUUGGUGGGGUAACGGCGCACCAAGGCGACGAUCCCUAGCUGGUCUUCGAGGAUGACCGCACAAACUGGAACUGAGACACGUCCCAGACUCCUACGGGAGGCAGCAGUGGGGAAUAUUGCACAAUGGGCGCAAGCCUGAUGCAGCCAUGCCGCGUGUAUGAAGAAGGCCUUCGGGUUGUAAAGUACUUUCAGCGGGGAGGCGUUACCCGCAGAAGAAGCACCGGCUAACUCCGUGCCAGCAGCCGCGGUAAUAC
Molecule: ribosomal RNA, 406 nt
Filed under: uncultured bacterium
Lineage: Bacteria
Description: partial 16S ribosomal RNA
Rfam family: Bacterial small subunit ribosomal RNA
Source: RNAcentral